UACGUAGGAUGCAAGCGUUGUCCGGAUUUAUUGGGCGUAAAGAGCGCGUAGGCGGUGUCUUAAGUUAGGCGUGAAAUCUCCCGGCUCAACUGGGAGGAGCCGUCUAAAACUGGGACGCUUGAGGGCAGCAGAGGAAAGUGGAAUUCCCGGUGUAGUGGUGAAAUGCGUAGAUAUCGGGAGGAACACCAGUGGCGAAGGCGGCUUUCUGGGCUGUUCCUGACGCUGAGGCGCGAAGGCUAGGGGAGCGAACGGG
RNAcentral lists this ribosomal RNA (253 nucleotides) under uncultured bacterium. RNAcentral's name for it is "partial 16S ribosomal RNA". It matches the Rfam family "Bacterial small subunit ribosomal RNA", at positions 524 to 776 of the family's 1533-position model. The record is from RNAcentral.